UACGUAGGGUGCGAGCGUUAAUCGGAAUUACUGGGCGUAAAGCGUGUGUAGGCGGCGGCCUAAGUACCUUGUGAAAUCCCACGGCUCACCCGUGGAACUGCUCGGUAUACUGGGUCGCUUGAGCCACUUAGGGGCUACCGGAACAAAUGGUGGAGCGGUGAAAUGCGUAGAUAUCAUUUGGAACGCCAAUGGUGAAAACAGGUAGCUGGGAGUGUGCUGACGCUGAGACACGAAAGCCAGGGGAGCAAACGGG
This 253-nucleotide ribosomal RNA is filed under the name uncultured bacterium. Its description in RNAcentral is "partial 16S ribosomal RNA". It matches the Rfam family "Bacterial small subunit ribosomal RNA", at positions 524 to 776 of the family's 1533-position model. The record is from RNAcentral.